CCUACGGGUGACAGCAGUGGGGAAUAUUGCACAAUGGGGGAAACCCUGAUGCAGCAACGCCGCGUGAAGGAAGACGGUUUUCGGAUUGUAAACUUCUGUUCUCAGGGAAGAGGAAUAACGGUGCUAAAGAGCAAAGCACCGCCUAACUACGUGCAAGAAGCCGCGGUAAUACGUAGGUGGCAAGCGUUGUCCGGACUUACUGGGUGUAAGGGAAGCGCAGGCGGGAAGCAAAGUCAGCUGUGAAAACUACGGGCUUAACUUGUAGACUGCAGUUGAAACUGGUUUUCUUGAGUGAAGUAGAGGUUAGCGGAAUUCCGGGUGUAGCGGUGAAAUGCGUAGAUAUUCGGAGGAACACCGGUGGCGAAGGCGGCCAACUGGGCUUUAACUGACGCUGAGGCUCGAAAGUGUGGGGAGCAAACAGGAUUAGAUACCCUAGUAGUC
Molecule: ribosomal RNA, 441 nt
Filed under: uncultured bacterium
Lineage: Bacteria
Description: partial 16S ribosomal RNA
Rfam family: Bacterial small subunit ribosomal RNA
Source: RNAcentral